AGAGUUUGAUCCUGGCUCAGGAUGAACGCUAGCUACAGGCUUAACACAUGCAAGUCGAGGGGCAGCAUGGUCUUAGCUUGCUAAGACUGAUGGCGACCGGCGCACGGGUGAGUAACACGUAUCCAACCUGCCGUCUACUCUUGGACAGCCUUCUGAAAGGAAGAUUAAUACAAGAUGGCAUCAUGAGUCCGCAUGUUCACAUGAUUAAAGGUAUUCCGGUAGACGAUGGGGAUGCGUUCCAUUAGAUAGUAGGCGGGGUAACGGCCCACCUAGUCUUCGAUGGAUAGGGGUUCUGAGAGGAAGGUCCCCCACAUUGGAACUGAGACACGGUCCAAACUCCUACGGGAGGCAGCAGUGAGGAAUAUUGGUCAAUGGGCGAGAGCCUGAACCAGCCAAGUAGCGUGAAGGAUGACUGCCCUAUGGGUUGUAAACUCCUUUUAUAAAGGAAUAAAGUCGGGUAUGCAUACCCGUUUGCAUGUACUUUAUGAAUAAGGAUCGGCUAACUCCGUGCCAGCAGCCGCGGUAAUACGGAGGAUCCGAGCGUUAUCCGGAUUUAUUGGGUUUAAAGGGAGCGUAGAUGGAUGUUUAAGUCAGUUGUGAAAGUUUGCGGCUCAACCGUAAAAUUGCAGUUGAUACUGGAUAUCUUGAGUGCAGUUGAGGCAGGCGGAAUUCGUGGUAUAGCGGUGAAAUGCUUAGAUAUCACGAAGAACUCCGAUUGCGAAGGCAGCCUGCUAAGCUGCAACUGACAUUGAGGCUCGAAAGUGUGGGUAUCAAACAGGAUUAGAUACCCUGGUAGUCCACACGGUAAACGAUGGAUACUCGCUGUUUGCGAUAUACGGCAAGCGGCCAAGCGAAAGCGUUAAGUAUUCCACCUGGGGAGUACGCCGGCAACGGUGAAACUCAAAGGAAUUGACGGGGGCCCGCACAAGCGGAGGAACAUGUGGUUUAAUUCGAUGAUACGCGAGGAACCUUACCCGGGCUUAAAUUGCAGAUGAAUUACGGUGAAAGCCGUAAGCCGCAAGGCAUCUGUGAAGGUGCUGCAUGGUUGUCGUCAGCUCGUGCCGUGAGGUGUCGGCUUAAGUGCCAUAACGAGCGCAACCCUUGUUGUCAGUUACUAACAGGUUCUGCUGAGGACUCUGACAAGACUGCCAUCGUAAGAUGUGAGGAAGGUGGGGAUGACGUCAAAUCAGCACGGCCCUUACGUCCGGGGCUACACACGUGUUACAAUGGGGGGUACAGAGGGCCGCUACCACGCGAGUGGAUGCCAAUCCCCAAAACCUCUCUCAGUUCGGACUGGAGUCUGCAACCCGACUCCACGAAGCUGGAUUCGCUAGUAAUCGCGCAUCAGCCACGGCGCGGUGAAUACGUUCCCGGGCCUUGUACACACCGCCCGUCAAGCCAUGGGAGCCGGGGGUACCUGAAGUGCGUAACCGCGAGGAGCGCCCUAGGGUAAAACUGGUGACUGGGGCUAAGUCGUAACAAGGUA
RNAcentral lists this ribosomal RNA (1486 nucleotides) under metagenome. RNAcentral describes it as "bacterial SSU rRNA". It matches the Rfam family "Bacterial small subunit ribosomal RNA". The record is from RNAcentral.